This 781-nucleotide ribosomal RNA is filed under the name uncultured bacterium. RNAcentral's name for it is "bacterial SSU rRNA". It matches the Rfam family "Bacterial small subunit ribosomal RNA", at positions 104 to 865 of the family's 1533-position model. The record is from RNAcentral.
GGGUGAGUAACGCGUGGGCAAUCUGCCCUUGAGUGGGGAAUAACCAUUCUAACGAGUGGCUAAUUCCGCAUGUGACCGGACCUUCGCAUGGAGGAUUGGUUAAAGGUGGGGAUCUUCGGACCUGCCGCUCGAGGAGGAGCCCGCGUCCCAUUAGCUUGUUGGUGGGGUAGCGGCCCACCAAGGCGACGAUGGGUAGCCGAUCUGAGAGGAUGACCGGCCACACUGGGACUGAGAUACGGCCCAGACUCCUACGGGAGGCAGCAGUCGAGAGGCUUCGGCAAUGGGGGAAACCCUGACCGAGCGACGCCGCGUGCGGGAUGAAGGCCCUCGGGUCGUAAACCGCUGUCAGGAGGGAAGAAUCCCCUCGGGUUAAUAGCCCGAGGGUUGACCGUACCUCCAGAGGAAGCUCCGGCUAACUCCGUGCCAGCAGCCGCGGUAAUACGGAGGGAGCGAACGUUGUUCGGAUUUACUGGGCGUAAAGGGCGCGUAGGCGGUUUUGCAAGUCAGAGGUGAAAUGCACCGGCUCAACCGGUGACGUGCCUUUGAAACUGCAGAACUUGAGGUCGUGAGAGGAAACUGGAAUUCCUAGUGUAGCGGUGAAAUGCAUAGAUAUUAGGAAGAACACCAGUGGCGAAGGCGAGUUUCUGGCACGAUUCUGACGCUGAGGCGCGAAAGCUAGGGGAGCGAACGGGAUUAGAUACCCCGGUAGUCCUAGCCGUAAACGAUGGGUACUAAGUGUUGGCCGAUCGACCCGGUCAGUGCUGCAGCUAACGCGUUAAGU